CGCACGGGUGCGUAACGCGUAUGCAACCUACCUGUAAGAGGGGAAUAACCCGGCGAAAGCCGGACUAAUACCGCAUAAGGUGGUGACUGGGCAUCUGGUUAUCAUUAAAUCUUUACGAGCUUACAGAUGGGCAUGCGUCCGAUUAGCUAGUUGGCGGGGUAAGGGCCCACCAAGGCUACGAUCGGUAGGGGGCCUGAGAGGGCGAUCCCCCACACUGGUACUGAGAUACGGACCAG
RNAcentral lists this ribosomal RNA (236 nucleotides) under uncultured bacterium. RNAcentral describes it as "partial 16S ribosomal RNA". It matches the Rfam family "Bacterial small subunit ribosomal RNA", at positions 99 to 334 of the family's 1533-position model. The record is from RNAcentral.